UUUUUUUUCUCUCUCGACGUUAUAAUAGAUUAGUCAUGGCAUUAUUUUUGAUGACUUGAAUAAUGAUAGCCUUCAAGUUAGCCCAAGAGCCUGCCAAGCUGCUACCGUCAACUUGUGUUAUCAAGGCUGCACAGCCUCCUGUCCUGACACUUACUUUAUUGUGCUAAUAAGCUGAUUUAUUUGAUACCGUAUCCAAGUAAUGCUUUACAAUAUUAGUUUCCUUGAAGUUACAUGGAAGUUGCCUUGGUUGUCUGUGACAAAUCAAAGCUUACAAACAGAACUGCCAUGUUAGUAUGGAAAGGGAGCUUUUACAUCGUACAUCGAAAUGUAGCCCUGCUUGUCAUUUUGCAAUGUUUUUUUUUUCUCUCGACGUGGAGUAGUCUCGACCUAACUUUUAUUUGCUGGAAUGAUGAUGGCUUGGUGAAGUUAGCUCCAUGAAGGCACGAGAGCCCAUCAGCUUACUCUUGAAGCUGUUACUUUAUCCAAAGGAGGCUGCGUCUGAGCCUCGUACUUAUAUUGUGUCAAUAAGCAGAUCGUAUUGAUAACGCAUCCAAGUAAUACUUUACAACAUUAGUUUAGUAACUAGAAGUUACAUCGGAGUCACAUUGGUUUUCUUUGAAUGUUGUGGUUUUGGUCUGUUUUCAGAUGUUGGUAGAGAGUGCUGCUAGCAAAGAUGGGGCGGGUGCAACUACCACUUCAGAGCCUGAAGAUGAUGGAGAUGGAGACAUCUCUACGAUGGACCCCGAGCCAGUAGUGGUCAAUCGUGGAUCACAGUGCAACAUAAGAUGUUUACAUCGUUCAUUGGGCGUACAGAAAGCACUGGAUGCUGAGAAGGACUGUGAAGAUCUGAAGCUAUGGAGGCCAGCUGUUAUAAACCAUCUAUACUGGACCGCAGCUUCCACCCCUAUACAGGAGAUCCAGAUGAGAUGCAGGCGAAAUGGCAGAGCAUGAUCAACCAUAUGCAGUAUAUACAUCAACACAGCACUCCUGAAUUCCCCAGUUGCGCACAUCCACCGUUGGAAGGAGAGGCAAGGCGUGGCUGGAACCAGGAUCACCAGCAGCCAUUAAACUGGAGAGUGUAGCUGCCAGGAAAGCACUGGUGAAAGAUGUAAGACAGUUAUCCCCUCAGCACCAGACAUUCUCCCUAGAGGCCUACCAUUCCCUCAUUCUACACUUCGCUCCCAAACACACGGGAUUCUCUUUUCUUGGGAUGUA
Sardina pilchardus (European sardine) is the source of this 1215-nucleotide long non-coding RNA. RefSeq lists it as uncharacterized. The transcript has 3 exons. Lineage: Eukaryota; Metazoa; Chordata; Actinopteri; Clupeiformes; Clupeidae. The record is from RefSeq and is a predicted model, not a curated record.